AAAAAAAUUACAUUAUCCCUCAUCAAUAUGUCUGCAGGUUGUUGAAGAAGUUCGAAGGAGCCUCAAUCAACCCGAAGAAGCAGAAGAAAGCGCAUACAUGAGGAAUUGUGAAAAGCAGCAGCUGAUUGACUAAUUGGACCCACUUAUUUACUAUGGCAUUUCAAAAGGAGUUAUGAAGCCACCAUGUGAACAGUGAUCUGGUAAUUAAAUCUUAUCAUUUUGUUUUUUGAUUAAUUAGAGUACCAACAUUGGAUUAAUUAGCACCGACAUUAGGUGUCCUUAACAGAAAAUAAUAGGAAUGAAAAUUGCAUUUUGGUUUAUACUGUACCAGUAACUAUUAAAUGAUAUGAAAAUCAAAAUUGCAUUUUUUAACUCUCAAA
Molecule: non-coding RNA, 380 nt
Organism: Paramuricea clavata
Lineage: Eukaryota; Metazoa; Cnidaria; Anthozoa; Malacalcyonacea; Plexauridae
Source: the annotation of a GenBank genome assembly